UACGUAGGUGGCGAGCGUUGUCCGGAUUUAUUGGGCGUAAAGGGAGCGUAGGCGGACUUUUAAGUGAGAUGUGAAAUACCCGGGCUCAACUUGGGUGCUGCAUUUCAAACUGGAAGUCUAGAGUGCAGGAGAGGAGAAUGGAAUUCCUAGUGUAGCGGUGAAAUGCGUAGAGAUUAGGAAGAACACCAGUGGCGAAGGCGAUUCUCUGUACUGUAACUGACGCUGAGGCUCGAAAGCGUGGGGAGCAAACAGGAUUAGAUACCCCGGUA
RNAcentral lists this ribosomal RNA (269 nucleotides) under uncultured prokaryote. RNAcentral's name for it is "partial 16S ribosomal RNA". It matches the Rfam family "Bacterial small subunit ribosomal RNA", at positions 524 to 792 of the family's 1533-position model. The record is from RNAcentral.